CGUGCAGGUGGAUUGUUAAGUGGGAUGUGAAAUACCCGGGCUUAACCUGGGUGCUGCAUUCCAAACUGGAAGUCUAGAGUACAGGAGGGGAAAGUGGAAUUCCUAGUGUAGCGGUGAAAUGCGUAGAGAUUAGGAAGAACACCAGUGGCGAAGGCGACUUUCUGGACUGUAACUGACGCUGAGGCUCGAAAGCGUGGGGAGCAAACA
Molecule: ribosomal RNA, 207 nt
Filed under: uncultured bacterium
Lineage: Bacteria
Description: partial 16S ribosomal RNA
Rfam family: Bacterial small subunit ribosomal RNA
Source: RNAcentral